Long non-coding RNA from Bos taurus (domestic cattle), 1891 nucleotides. Lineage: Eukaryota; Metazoa; Chordata; Mammalia; Artiodactyla; Bovidae. The record is from Ensembl.
ACCAUUUGUUUAUUUUUUAUUUUGCUGCCUUUGCUUUCAUAUAAAAUCCAGAAAAAUCCCUGCUGAGAUAGCUGUCAAGGAGAUUAUCUACUGCAUGUUUACUUAGAUCUUUAAGCCAUUCAAAGUUGAUUUAGCAUAUGGUGUAAGAUAAGGUACAGUUUCAUUCUUUUGCAUGUGGCUAUCAAAUUUUCCCUACAACUCUUAUUGAAAAGACUGCAUUUUACCUGUUUUACAUUCUUGGCUCCUUUAUCAAAAAUUAGUUGACCAUAUACGUGUGGGUUUAUUUCUGGACUUCUAUUCCAUUGAUCUGUGUCUGUUUUUAAGCCCAUAUCAUACUGUUAUGAUUACUAUAGCAUUGUGAUAUAGUUUGAAAUCAGGAAUUGUGAUGUUUCCAGAUUUGUUUUUCUCUUUCAAUAUUGCUUUGGCUUUUUGAGGUUGCUUGCAGUUUCAUACAAACUUUAGGAUUAUUUUUUUCAAUUUCUUGAAAAGUACCUUUAGAAUGUUGAUAGGAAUUGCAUUCAUUGUGUUGAUCACUUUGGGUGGUAUGGAAUUAGCAAUAUUAGUUCUUCUAACCCAUUAGCAUAGGAUAUCUUUCCACUUAUUUGUGUCUUCUUCAGUUUAUUUCAUCAGUGCCUUAGAGUUUGCAGUAUAUGGCUAUUUUACUUCCUUGAUUAAAUGUUUUCUGAGGUAUUUUAUUUUUUCAUAUUAUUAUAAAUUAGAUUGUUUUCUUAAUUUCUUAUUUUGAUAGUUUGUUAUUAAUGUUCAAAAAUGCAGUUGAUUUUGUAUCCUGAAACUUUACUGAAUUUAUUAGUUCUAUAGUUUUUUGGUAGAAUCUUUAGAGUUUUCUAUGUUUAAUACAUUUCAUCUGUAAAUGUGACAGUUUUGCUUCUUCCAUUCUGAUCUGAAUGUCUUUUAUUUCUUUUUCAUGCUUAAUUGUUUUGCUAGGACUUCUCAUACUAUUUUGAAUAAAGAUGGGAAAUAUGGGCAUCCUUGUUUUGUUCUUGAUCUUAGAGAAAAAGCUUUCAGCUUUUAACUGUUUGGUAUGAUGUUAGCUAUGGGCUUGUCAUAUAUGGCCUUUAUUAAGCUGAGGUCCAAUGUCACUGCAGAUGGUGACUGCAGCCAUGAAAUUAAAAGACGCUUACUCCUUGGAAGGAAAGUUAUGACCAACCUAAAGUGUCUAACUCUUUGCCACCCCAUGGACCAUAAACUACCAGGCUACAGUCCAUGUAUCGCAAAGAGUUGGACAUGACUGAGCGACUUCACUCACUGUUUUCCUGCUUCUAGUUAGUGUCUUUUCAUUUCAACAAAAACUCACUUUAACAUUGCCUAUAGGGCCAGUGUAGUGGUUAUGAACUCCUUCAGCUUUUGCUUGUCUCUUUAUCUCUCCUUCAGUUCUGAAGGGCAACUUUGCCAGGGUUAGUAUUCUUGUUUGGCAGUUUUUUCUUUCAGUACUUUGGCUAUAUCAUACCACUUCCUUCUGGUCUGCCAAGUUUCUGCUGAAAAUCUGCUGAUAGUCUUAUGGAGAGUCCUUUGUAUGUAACAAGUUGUUUUGUACUUGCUCUUUAAGUUUUUCUCCUAACAAUUGACAAUUUAAUCACAAUAUGUCAAAAAGCAUUACACCAUGUCUUGUGGGUCUCCUUCAGUUUAGUUCAGUCGCUCAGUGUCUGACUCUUUGCGACCCCAUGAAUCGCAGCACGCCAGGCCUCCCUGUCCCUCACCAACUCCUGGAGUUCACUCAAACUCACGUCCAUCGAGUCGGUGAUGCCAUCCAGCCAUCUCAUCCUCUGUCAUCCCCUUCUCCUCCUUCCCCCAAUCCCUCCCAGCAUCAGAGUCUUUUUCAAUGAGUUAACUCUUCGCAUGAGGUGGCCAAAGUACUGGAGUUUAAACUUUA